Molecule: long non-coding RNA, 1107 nt
Filed under: Homo sapiens (human)
Lineage: Eukaryota; Metazoa; Chordata; Mammalia; Primates; Hominidae
Description: HSALNT0105644
Source: RNAcentral
CGAGGAGUAAGGAUGUGGAAUGAGUAAACUCCCUGGGAGGUGGGGGGUGGGGAGGGGAUGGGGCCUCCCUGGAGCCUCGGGCCAUUAGUAAUCUGCUUUGUGAAUGGAGUUAAAGGAGGAGGGGGCUGCACAUACUUGGAAUUCCUUCAUCUGGGUGGGCUCCUUCUCUCCAAACUUUCAGGAUGUGGGAAAUAUAAGAUGAAAGAAGCUGCAUUUCCAGCCUAUCAGGUUACAGCGUGGAAAAUGGAGAGGGAAAGAAGUAGGGGGUGGAGAGUGGGGCGGGAGAAGGCCUCCCCGAGAGGGGCCAGGGAAACCCAGUUUGAGAACUGGCUGGGGAGAGUGAGAAAGAAAGAGUGCUGGGGCGGUCAGAUCACGUUUCACAUCACAUCAGAGCUGUGGAAUUUCCUCUCUUCUAGGGGGAGCCCUGUGAAGAUGAAGUUGGUUUAAGGCACUCAAUGUUCUAUGCGUCCACUGGUCAAGAUCCUUUAGCGAUGUUACAGCACCAAGAGUUCAGCUUGGGAUUCAGUGUUCUCCACUGUCUGGCCCCUGCAUCUCACUGUUCCACAGGAUGACCUUCUGUGCCAGUUGCAGCUGCCUCCCAAUUGGUGCAGGUAUUUUUCACACAGCUUCCUAUCAUAUAGUCAAAGAAUCACAGUAGUAACCAUGGUACUACUCAUUGCCUGUCUGUGGCCCUCCGCUAAGGACUUUAUUGUGUUAUUUUAUGUAAUCUUCACAUCUCAUUAUGGUAGGUGUCAUCUUCCUCAUUUUGUAGAUGAAGACACCAAGGUUCAGAAAGUUCAAAUAACUUGCCUAAAUCCUACAGCUGGAAUAAGGCUGAGUAGAACUCGGCCCCCUGGUCAAGCCCAGAGUCAUCCUACUAUUCCCCUUCCACUCCACUGAGAUGAUAGGAAGGAAAGAGCAGAGGUUAGGGGUUAGUGAUUUUCUCCCUUCAUUCUUGCUGCUCCCACACCUGAAAUAUUCACUUUUUUUUCCUUUUUUUUUUUUUUUUUUUGAGGCGGAAUCUCGCUCUGUUGCCCAGGCUGGAGUGCAGUGGUGCGAUCUUGGCUCACCACAACCUCCGCCUCUCGGGUACAAGCAAUCCUGCCU